CCUUACCAACCCUUGACAUCUGGAUCGCGGUUUUCCGAGAGGAAUUCCUUCAGUUCGGCUGGAUCCAAGACAGGUGCUGCAUGGCUGUCGUCAGCUCGUGUCGUGAGAUGUUCGGUUAAGUCCGGCAGCGAGCGCAACCCACGUCCUUAGUUGCCAGCAGUUCGGCUGGGCACUCUAAGGAAACUGCCGGUGAUAAGCCGGAGGAAGGUGUGGAUGACGUCAAGUCCUCAUGGCCCUUACGGGUUGGGCUACACA
Molecule: ribosomal RNA, 255 nt
Filed under: Tropicimonas sp. IMCC6043
Lineage: Bacteria; Pseudomonadati; Pseudomonadota; Alphaproteobacteria; Rhodobacterales; Roseobacteraceae
Description: Bacterial small subunit ribosomal RNA
Rfam family: Bacterial small subunit ribosomal RNA
Source: Rfam by way of RNAcentral